Molecule: unclassified non-coding RNA, 452 nt
Filed under: Hevea brasiliensis (rubber tree)
Lineage: Eukaryota; Viridiplantae; Streptophyta; Magnoliopsida; Malpighiales; Euphorbiaceae
Source: RNAcentral
UUUUUUUUUGGUCUUACCUGAUAUAACCACUAGAAAUGGAAGAAACUUUGCAAACACCAGCUGAUGUGGUAAAUGGUAUAUCUUUAAAACAUGCCACCAGGUCUGUGUUAGUAGCCAAAUCUACCUGCAGUGUCUCCCAUACCUUCUUCUUCGGGUUCAAUACAUCGUCGGGCUCGCCUUCGAAUCCUGGGAAUUUAAUUCUUUCUCCAACAUUGGCGUCUUUGGGUGGCUCAACUAAUUCCACCUUGGUAUGAUCGCUAUUGGAAGCAGCAAGAACCAUGGCUUGAGAUUUAAUGCCCCUCAUGGCUGCCGGCUUCAAGUUGCAAAGAACACACACCUUCCGGUUCUGCAUCUCUUCAAGAGGUAUGUACUUGACUAAUCCACUGACAACGGUUCGAGGUUGCGAUUCUCCCACAUCGAUUUCCUCGACAUAUAGGGAAUCAGCAUCAGGA